This 496-nucleotide ribosomal RNA is filed under the name uncultured bacterium. Its description in RNAcentral is "partial 16S ribosomal RNA". It matches the Rfam family "Bacterial small subunit ribosomal RNA", at positions 29 to 507 of the family's 1533-position model. The record is from RNAcentral.
AUGAACACUGGCGGCGUGCCUAAUACAUGCAAGUCGAGCGAACGGACGAGAAGCUUGCUUCUCUGAUGUUAGCGGCGGACGGGUGAGUAACACGUGGAUAACCUACCUAUAAGACUGGGAUAACUUCGGGAAACCGGAGCUAAUACCGGAUAAUAUUUUGAACCGCAUGGUUCAAAAGUGAAAGACGGUCUUGCUGUCACUUAUAGAUGGAUCCGCGCUGCAUUAGCUAGUUGGUAAGGUAACGGCUUACCAAGGCAACGAUGCAUAGCCGACCUGAGAGGGUGAUCGGCCACACUGGAACUGAGACACGGUCCAGACUCCUACGGGAGGCAGCAGUAGGGAAUCUUCCGCAAUGGGCGAAAGCCUGACGGAGCAACGCCGCGUGAGUGAUGAAGGUCUUCGGAUCGUAAAACUCUGUUAUUAGGGAAGAACAUAUGUGUAAGUAACUGUGCACAUCUUGACGGUACCUAAUCAGAAAGCCACGGCUAACUACGUG